This 1178-nucleotide long non-coding RNA is filed under the name Strigops habroptila (Kakapo). Its description in RNAcentral is "lncRNA (ENSSHBG00005019931.1)". Lineage: Eukaryota; Metazoa; Chordata; Aves; Psittaciformes; Psittacidae. The record is from RNAcentral.
UUGUACUCGAUGCCAAAAUUUAACCUCAUGAGUUGAAACCUGCAGAAGCACAUUGAGGAUAAUGAAGAACCACUUGACCGGCACAAGAAGGUGGGACUAAGUCACCACUGGAAGCUCCCAGGUACCUUCUCAUGACACCAGCAGGUACCAGAAAUGAAGCCUCUGCCCAACGGGUGACAAACCAGCAUCAUUUCCCUGUGGCACAGCUCGGCUGGAGCCCCCAUGGUACUGCAGCAGGAGACAGAAGACAUUGUGGAAGCUGCAGAGCACUGUGAACCCUUGUUAAAUGGGAUGAAGCCAUCAAUCCUGCAGGAACAAGGACUGUUGCAGCAUGUGCUCAGAUGGAUUCCCUUUCUGGGCAGUUGAUGUAACAUUUAGAAGUUUCUGCAGUUUGAAACACAGAAGCAAGAAGGUCCUUGGUCAGGUCAGCUAAACCUGGCAAUACAUGGCUCCAAGAGGGAAUACAAGCACUGUAAGGAAGAGCCCUGGGAAGCUGGUCCUGGAAGAGUGGACAAGCUCAUGUGUGCGCAUUCAAGUGUUGGGGAUCAGGAGCCAGGCUGGUCACAGCAAACAAGGCAUUGCAGAUACAGGGAUCAGUUUAAAUGUCAGAGUAAGUUUCACCCUUGGGAUCUCUGUUAAACGUUUCUCCUGAGCAACUGCAAAGACAUUUCUCACAGCUGUUGUGUGGACUGACUGAAACUCUCCUGGCACCUGCAUAUUCCACAAGAAGUGUUUUACAAGGGAAGUAUGACUGGCUCAGAAUUCCCCAUUUUGAAUUGCAAUGGAAAAUUACUUGUAACAUCUGCCUACAGCGGCACUGCAGAGGCUUCUGAGGAGGAAGAUGGAUGGUGCGGUGACAUGAUGGGAAUGACAACCACACACACAUGCAAAUAAGCAGCUCGAGUGCCAAUCCCCUUCAGCAGUUUGUUUUCAAAAGGCUUCCCUGCUCCUGUGAUGGGCCAGGACCUGCUUUUCUCCUGGCACUACUCCACAACACUGUUGCUUACAGUAAUUCUACAAAAGGGAACUUCCACCAGAGACCAGCGUUGGAGGUUUUGGUUAUACACAGACAGUGCAAGAUGUUCUCCAGCCCCACACUGAAGAGGUUUCACACGCUCCCCGGAACAGCUUUCACUCCACAAGAGGCAAGAACUCUUCUUCUGGUAAUUUUAAUGUAG